Leptonychotes weddellii (Weddell seal) is the source of this 1331-nucleotide non-coding RNA. The record is from RefSeq and is a predicted model, not a curated record. Lineage: Eukaryota; Metazoa; Chordata; Mammalia; Carnivora; Phocidae.
UGGGUUUCUUUAUUUAUUGGACACUUUGGUUUUUUUUUAAUCUCCCUGUUUUAAAAUCAGCUGAUUAGCAAGCAAUCUUAAUUGUAUCUGCAACUUUAAUUCCUCUUUGCUGUGUAAUGUAACGUAUUCACAGGUUCCAGGGAUAUCUUUGGGGGGCUGUUAUUCUGCCUGCCACAACUAUAUUGUGCAAGAUGGACAUUCAAUCUAUCAACGGUGCUGAAAUCUUAGAUUUGUUCAGCAACUUUACACAGUCUUCUAUAUGCCCGAAAGAUGUGUUCCAAGCAAGCUAUGCUUCUCUGGGCAAAACAGCCCCACCAAGUCUUGUCAACUUCUCCUUUGGGAGAUGCAGAGACUGGAGGGAGGGGUGGGGAAGACGGGGGAUGAGGCUAGACACCUGUCCCUAGUGGAAAAAGGAACACACCUGGAGAGCAACUCAGACAAAGGGAGCCAAGGGGGAAAAAACAGUAAUUGGAGAGGAGACUGCUUCCAAUCUGUUGCUGGGUUUAUAAGGUAAAUCUAUUCCUGGAGGAAAGGGAUAUAGUAGCUGCACACUAAAAACUGGGACAAGGCGUGUCUAUGCCAAACUGUAUCUUUUUCAAGAAGUUUUGAAGCCCAGUUUGAAUCAAGUGACCUGCCUGAGAUUGCCAGGUGUCCUGUGCACAUCUCAUUCAUUCAUUCAUUCAUUCACUCACUUAGUCAUAUUGAGCACCUAACAAGCUCUAAGCACUGUUGAUAAAAAAGUAAACAAGGCAUAAUAGUACUUAGCACACUGCAUUUAUUUGCAUUGGUUUUGGCUUUUUCUCUCCCACAGCAGCUUCUAGGAAGGGGCCCUAUUUCAUUUUUGCAUCCUCAGUGCCUAGAACAAGUGCCUGGAACAGGUUAGGUGCUUAAUGAACGAAAAAAUGACUUUAAAGCAUACUUUUCAUAGGGGGCUAUGUUCUCAAACCCGUAGCCCUAUUUAGGGGGGAGAAGGGAUGACCGGUACACAUGACAAGAACGGGCAAGUCAUCUUUAAUCGGAGUACACACAGCAAUCCAGUUUUCCUGUGGCUUCUAGUCCUCAAGUCAAUGGCCACGACGUCCCGCAGCGCCACGGCUCGCCGUAUGGACUUGGGCGGGUUCUCGGUCAGGUAGAUGAGCCGAUCGCUGAGCACCACGUACUUGAAGGUGUGCUUCUCCGAGUCGGACACCACGAUGCACGGCUCGUAGGCGCGGACGGCGUCGUAGACCUCGGGCGGCAGCUGCCUCCGCAGGAACGCGUCCAGACGGCUAUUCGUGUGCGCAGGGAAGCCAGACCUUGCGGGGCCUGCCAUGCGCGGCGUCCGCGCCCGG